This 477-nucleotide ribosomal RNA is filed under the name uncultured bacterium. RNAcentral describes it as "bacterial SSU rRNA". It matches the Rfam family "Bacterial small subunit ribosomal RNA", at positions 365 to 832 of the family's 1533-position model. The record is from RNAcentral.
UUCGCAAUGCCCGAAAGGGUGACGAAGCGACGCCGCGUGUGGGAAGAAGGCCUUCGGGUUGUAAACCACUGUCGGGAGUUAAGAAAUACAAGGAUAUUAAUAGUGUCUUUGUUUGACUAAGGCUCCGGAGGAAGCCAGGGCUAACUCUGUGCCAGCAGCCGCGGUAAUACAGAGGCGGCAAGCGUUGUUCGGAAUUAUUGGGCGUAAAGAGCACGUAGGCGGCUAUGUAAGUCGGUUGUGAAAGCCUUCCGCUCAACGGAAGAACAGCAUCCGAUACUACAUGGCUUGAGUGCGGGAGGGGAGAGUGGAACUUCUGGUGGAGCGGUGAAAUGCGUAGAUAUCAGAAGGAACGCCGGCGGCGAAAGCGGCUCUCUGGCCCAUAACUGACGCUGAGUGUGCGAAAGCUAGGGGAGCAAACGGGAUUAGAUACCCCGGUAGUCCUAGCCGUAAACGAUGGGCACUAAGUAGAGGGGUUUU